Molecule: long non-coding RNA, 298 nt
Organism: Portunus trituberculatus (swimming crab)
Lineage: Eukaryota; Metazoa; Arthropoda; Malacostraca; Decapoda; Portunidae
Exons: 2
Source: RefSeq, a predicted model, not a curated record
UCCCCUUCCUCUCACUGUAUCUUUGCUUUCUUGCUUUCUUUCUUUCUUUCUCUCUUUUCUUUUUUUCUUUUUCAUCCUGUUGUGUUUUUUUUAGUCAAGCGAGAAACUAUUGUGUGUGUUUUUUCACCCGUUUUCUUUUAGUCCCCCUCUCUCUUAUGGUAUUAUAGAAAACGUGACAUGUGAGGUUGUGUAUUGUAUUCACUGGUGUAUAGAGAGAUUAGAGAGAGAGAGAGAGAGAGAGAGAGAGAGAGAGAGAGAGAGAGAGAGAUAGAGAGAGAGAGAGAGAGAGAGAGAGAGA